CCGUUUUGCUCUAAUGGAGGUUCUCAUUUUGCAACGCUUCAUGUUUCUCCGCUUUCUUCCACCGUUUCGCUCUUUAUGGUUUCUUAUUUAAUUUCCAAAGUGCAGCAAGGCUUAAAGAUCAAAUGGAUCCCGCUGCAAGAGAAUUUCGUUAUCUCUUCCUUCCCCUUAACCUUAACCUUAACCUAGCAGCGUCGCUGCUCACAUGAGACAGAUCGUGGCUCUGCGGUCCAGGGCGGUGGCCCGUGGUUGCUUGAGGCCGUUCUAAUCAUUCUGUUUUUUAUAGAGACUCGAAAAUUAGGCAACCUUUAGCCGGAGAAAUGUGUGAGAUGGCUGAGUACUGGACGCGCAACACCUGGGGGCUGGGGUGGAGAAAGGAACAACACGGGAAAGAGAAAUAGAGACUCUCGAUUUCUCUGAUCUUGCUGCCCUCUGAUACCAGGUUCUCACCGGGCCUGCUCCUUAUCUUUGAAUUCAGUCUGUUGUGCAUUUCCUUCUUAGUACAUAAUUUUUAUCCCAUCCUCUGGUGUGACCCAUAUUGAUGGCCAAUUGUAUGGCAACAGAUACAAGCAAGUUAUAUUCACAUGACCCUAUAGGUGAAUUUUUAACAUUGAGAGUGUGGAAAAUCGGGGAGCCAUGGUGCUUAUUCAUGCAGCAUGGAGAGGAUAUUAAAUAGGUGACGUCAUUCAUCACCAUCGUCUCCUUCGUUGUUGGUUAUUGGAAUCAAUUAGUUAUCUCAAUCUUUGCUACCACCCAUUGCUGAACUUGCUGAAGACAGGCAUCUGAGGGUUUGGCUUGCAAUAACAGUGCAUAUACCCUUAUUGGCAAAGCCAAUAGCUUGGUGCUCUUUGCAUGCAGUGGUUACUGGACAAGGUUUGCAGACUCCAUUUUUUUUUGCUAAUUUGAGCAUAUUUUAGGGGACCAUUUAUUCCACAUGAGUGUUGUUACAUUCUUUUUGUUUCGUGCAAGUUCAUUCAAUUCGUGAGCCAACUGCUUGGAGAAUAUACCCAUUCUUUGAUUUAGUGUUCUGAUAACCCAUUCUUGGUGAAUUAUUGACCUGUUUUUGUAUAUACUGAACAGAAUUAUGGUCCUCAUGCCCAAAAAAACCGAUGAGGACAUAUGUAACCACCAUCUCAUUCAAUUUUGCUUAGUAUAUGACUUUUUGCAGAUAUAAAACCAACUAAAGUACUUCUCUUUUUGCUUUUUUUUUUCUUCAAAUAGAUUGCAUGGAGUUGGGACUUUGGAUAUUAUAAGAUAUUCAAGAUAAUGAAAGCUAAAUUGCUGCAACUUGGAGGCAAGGAACUGUUUUCGGUGUAGAACUUUUUUUUGUAGGAUACAAUGUACAAGAACUAGCAAAUAGGAAGAUUACAUACUUUGUAAUUGGUGUUUGCUGGGUGAAGAGAAUAAUGUUAGGAAGUUGCAAUAUGUAGUAAAAAUUGUACUCUAAAUGUGAUGAAGUUAACACAUUCUUCGCAACAUUUUUAGGUUCUUGAACUUUUUUGCAGGCAUAUGAAGUGGUUAUUGAAGCAGGAAGAAUUAUUUGUAAACAAAACAAGGACCGAUCUACACAUUGCCUAGGGAUUCAAGUGGAUUUUUGUACUUAACAGUUUCGUCUUUGCUGUCUUUUGUUCAUGUAAAAGUUAAAGAGGAAAUACACUUUAUGCCAAAUAAUAUGAGAAUUUGAAA
Molecule: long non-coding RNA, 1683 nt
Organism: Lotus japonicus
Lineage: Eukaryota; Viridiplantae; Streptophyta; Magnoliopsida; Fabales; Fabaceae
Exons: 5
Source: RefSeq, a predicted model, not a curated record